This 800-nucleotide ribosomal RNA is filed under the name uncultured bacterium. RNAcentral's name for it is "bacterial SSU rRNA". It matches the Rfam family "Bacterial small subunit ribosomal RNA", at positions 8 to 825 of the family's 1533-position model. The record is from RNAcentral.
AGAGUUUGAUCAUGGCUCAGAACGAACGCUGGCGGCGUGCCUAACACAUGCAAGUCGAGCGCGAAAGCUCCUUCGGGAGCCUUAAAGCGGCAGACGGGUGAGUAACACGUGGGCAACCUGUCCCUGAGUGGGGGAUAACUACUCGAAAGGGUGGCUAAUACCGCAUAAGACCACGGCCUUGCGGGGCUGAGGUCAAAGGCGCAAGCCGCUUAGGGAGGGGCCCGCGGCCGAUUAGCUAGUUGGUAGGGUAACGGCCUACCAAGGCGACGAUCGGUAGCUGGUCUGAGAGGAUGAUCAGCCACACUGGUACUGAGGCACGGACCAGACUCCUACGGGAGGCAGCAGUGGGGAAUAUUGCGCAAUGGGCGAAAGCCUGACGCAGCAACGCCGCGUGGGUGAUGAAGGCCUUCGGGUCGUAAAGCCCUGUCAGAUGGGACGAAGCAAGUGACGGUACCAUCGAAGGAAGCACCGGCUAACUCCGUGCCAGCAGCCGCGGUAAUACGGAGGGUGCAAGCGUUGUUCGGAAUCACUGGGCGUAAAGGGCGCGUAGGCGGUCCCAAAAGUCUGAUGUGAAAGCCCGGGGCUCAACCCCGGAAGUGCAUUGGAAACUGUGGGACUUGAGUUCGGGAGAGGAAGGCAGAAUUCCCGGUGUAGGGUUGAAAUCCGUAGAUAUCGGGAGGAAAACCGGUGGCGAAGGCGGCCUUCUGGAACGAAACUGACGCUGAGGCGCGAAAGCGUGGGGAGCAAACAGGAUUAGAGACCCUGGUAGUCCACGCUGUAAACGAUGAUGCUGGGUGUGG